CCUACGGGUGGCAGCAGUGAGGAAUAUUGGUCAAUGGGCGCGAGCCUGAACCAGCCAAGUAGCGUGAAGGAUGACUGCCCUACGGGUUGUAAACUUCUUUUAUAAGGGAAUAAAGUGUGGGACGUGUCCUAUUUUGUAUGUACCUUAUGAAUAAGGAUCGGCUAACUCCGUGCCAGCAGCCGCGGUAAUACGGAGGAUCCGAGCGUUAUCCGGAUUUAUUGGGUUUAAAGGGUGCGUAGGCGGCCUUUUAAGUCAGCGGUGAAAGUCUGUGGCUCAACCAUAGAAUUGCCGUUGAAACUGGGGGGCUUGAGUAUGUUUGAGGCAGGCGGAAUUCGUGGUGUAGCGGUGAAAUGCUUAGAUAUCACGAAGAACCCCGAUUGCGAAGGCAGCUUACUAAACUGUGACUGACAUUGAUGCUCGAAAGUGUGGGUAUCAAACAGGAUUAGAUACCCGAGUAGUC
RNAcentral lists this ribosomal RNA (460 nucleotides) under uncultured bacterium. RNAcentral's name for it is "partial 16S ribosomal RNA". It matches the Rfam family "Bacterial small subunit ribosomal RNA", at positions 338 to 795 of the family's 1533-position model. The record is from RNAcentral.